AAUAGAUACCCGGGUAGUCCACGCCGUAAACGAUGUCGACUUGGAGGUUGUUCCCUUGAGGAGUGGCUUCCGGAGCUAACGCGUUAAGUCGACCGCCUGGGGAGUACGGCCGCAAGGUUAAAACUCAAAUGAAUUGACGGGGGCCCGCACAAGCGGUGGAGCAUGUGGUUUAAUUCGAUGCAACGCGAAGAACCUUACCUACUCUUGACAUCCACGGAACUUAGCAGAGAUGCUUUGGUGCCUUCGGGAACCGUGAGACAGGUGCUGCAUGGCUGUCGUCAGCUCGUGUUGUGAAAUGUUGGGUUAAGUCCCGCAACGAGCGCAACCCUUAUCCUUUGUUGCCAGCGGUUAGGCCGGGAACUCAAAGGAGACUGCCAGUGAUAAACUGGAGGAAGGUGGGGAUGACGUCAAGUCAUCAUGGCCCUUACGAGUAGGGCUACACACGUGCUACAAUGGCGCAUACAAAGAGAAGCGACCUCGCGAGAGCAAGCGGACCUCAUAAAGUGCGUCGUAGUCCGGGUUGGAGUCUGCAACUCGACU
This 540-nucleotide ribosomal RNA is filed under the name uncultured bacterium. RNAcentral describes it as "bacterial SSU rRNA". It matches the Rfam family "Bacterial small subunit ribosomal RNA", at positions 777 to 1317 of the family's 1533-position model. The record is from RNAcentral.